GAGGGUAUAGCUCAGUGGUAGAGUGCAUGCUUAGCAUGCAUGAGGUCCUGGGUUCAAUCCCCAGUCCCUCCA
RNAcentral lists this transfer RNA (72 nucleotides) under Camelus dromedarius (Arabian camel). It matches the Rfam family "tRNA". From Rfam's summary of the family: Transfer RNA (tRNA) molecules are approximately 80 nucleotides in length. The record is from Rfam by way of RNAcentral. RNAcentral also lists the same sequence under 2 other names. Lineage: Eukaryota; Metazoa; Chordata; Mammalia; Artiodactyla; Camelidae.